CUUCCCUGUGAUUUAGAUGUAUAUAGUUUCUUGGGGGGGGCAUUUUAUAGGGUUUUAAAGGGAAAAAAUGAAUUGACAAAUUGAUUCAUCUAUUCGCCAGGAAAAAAAAUAUAAAUUUGUUAUUUGUGAUUCGUCAACCUUGAUGAAUCACAAAUCAAAACAAAUCACAGUUUUCUGAUUGGUGCCCAUCACUAGUAAAUACUUUAUUUCAUAGAGUAGUUAAUUAGGGACUUGAUGUGACAGUCAUGAAAAAGGAAAGGAUGGAAUCUAACAACCACCGAGAAUAGGAGUCCUAGCACGACUGUGGGCCUCUGCCAGCCUCCAGCGCCUCCUUCCCCCUUCCAAACCUUUCAUCUUUUGCAAGCGGAUAAAAAAGUAUUUUGCCCUGAUGUUUGUCCUGCUCGUGGCAAGGUGUAGGUUAUCUUCCUAUAUUUGCACUAAGCUAAAGGGAGAGGGGGAGGAAGGGAAUAAACACAUAAAUCCUUCCCUGUCUUUAUAAGGGGAAAGCAAAGCAGGAGAGAAUCAGAACGUUAUUUCUGCCAGAAGUACAGAACAGCAGUUCCACCUUCUCGGUGUCAUACCUACAAACUUCUGAUUCUCGCUGCUUCCUCUUGUGACCUUUGGCAUCAAGAUGCAGACUAUCUUGGGAUCCUUCCUGUUCCUCGUGCUUCUAAGAACAGGCACUUCUCUGGAAUGUGAAGUUUGUAAUGGCAUGGGCAACAGCUGUACUGGCCCCAUGAUGACCUGUGAACCCGGUCAAGACACCUGUGCCAUCAUAUUGACUGAAAACUCCUUAGGUUGGUACAGGGCUGGUCCCAGACAUCUUCCUGCCUGAGAUAAGAUGGUGUACUCUCCCUAGUCUACACAGAGAAGUUGAGCGUAUUAGCAUUUUAAGUGUUGCUGCAGUGGGAUGGCAUCCUCUAUCUACCGGAUGUCUCAAGAUGGUUCAGGAGACCACAAGGUUGUGUGGCGUGCCCAGUUCUGUCCUUCAACAGAGAGGAACAGCUUGGAAGUUCAUGAGGAGCAUCUGUUGCCUGAAAUGGCUCCCUUCCUUGACUAAUAAUAGGGCCAAUCAUGGUUUGGUAAGUGGUACCGUGGGUUAGAGAUCAUUGUGUGUUAUAUGACCAAUUAUCUUCAAUGAGCUAAAUUAAGUACAGAGUCAAAAAUGUGGAGUUAACUUGUAAUAAUUUUAGAAAAGGUUUAUUAAUACAUACACCUGGGAGGCAGGAAAGUUUUAAGGGUCAGAUCAUACUUCUGCACUAUUAAAGAGCAGGCCAGGUAGGUGGGGCUCGUCAGCCUUGGAAGGCAGCCCAUCUAGGAGAAAGAAAACUCCAACUUCAAACCUCCACUGCCUUGUGGCUAUAUCCGCUGAUGGAAAAGGCUUCAGGAGUUAACCUCGAGGCAAAAUCUGGAGCUGGAGUCCUGGAGGCAGUUGGUGCCAUUCUACCAACUCCUGCGACGUUGCUGGAACCGGUUGUAUUGGCUCUUGCCUUUCCAUUGGACCAUUUCAGCAAUGUGGAGAGGGGGGAUCUGCUGCUUCGGUAACAGCCUAUCCUCCAUAUUACUUUACCCAGGCUUCGUGCUCUGGAGAGGACACUCCUCGAUUCAGAGCAUGUUACCAUAGUCUCUCGAAACUGAAGGAUGCCUAUGUAUGCAUUAAUACAGAAUUUAGUAUUUCAGUAGCAAAGGCCAAAAUAUAGCCUUUGAGUGAAAAAGAAAGAAGGCAUUUGUCUUAGAUAUUCCAGGUAAGUUUAUUUAGCUUUGAAGAAUGUUUCCAAAGUGGGUAAACCACCCCCUAAGGCUGGAUGGCAUGGAUGCGUGGAUGGAGAGAGAGC
Molecule: long non-coding RNA, 1835 nt
Filed under: Pogona vitticeps (central bearded dragon)
Lineage: Eukaryota; Metazoa; Chordata; Lepidosauria; Squamata; Agamidae
Description: lncRNA (ENSPVIG00000002373.1)
Source: RNAcentral